This 71-nucleotide transfer RNA is filed under the name Loxodonta africana (African savanna elephant). It matches the Rfam family "tRNA". Rfam says of the family: Transfer RNA (tRNA) molecules are approximately 80 nucleotides in length. Their secondary structure includes four short double-helical elements and three loops (D, anti-codon, and T loops). Further hydrogen bonds mediate the characteristic L-shaped molecular structure. tRNAs have two regions of fundamental functional importance: the anti-codon, which is responsible for specific mRNA codon recognition, and the 3' end, to which the tRNAs corresponding amino acid is attached (by aminoacyl-tRNA synthetases). tRNAs cope with the degeneracy of the genetic code in two manners: having more than one tRNA (with a specific anti-codon) for a particular amino acid; and 'wobble' base-pairing, i.e. permitting non-standard base-pairing at the 3rd anti-codon position. Lineage: Eukaryota; Metazoa; Chordata; Mammalia; Proboscidea; Elephantidae. The record is from Rfam by way of RNAcentral.
GCAGUGGUAGUUCAGUGGUAGAAUUCUUGUCUUCCAUAUGGGAGACCUGGGUUAGAUUCCUGACCACUGGA